RNAcentral lists this ribosomal RNA (492 nucleotides) under uncultured bacterium. Its description in RNAcentral is "partial 16S ribosomal RNA". It matches the Rfam family "Bacterial small subunit ribosomal RNA", at positions 29 to 507 of the family's 1533-position model. The record is from RNAcentral.
AGUGAACGCUGGCGGUAGGCCUAACACAUGCAAGUCGAACGGCAGCACAGUAAGAGCUUGCUCUUACGGGUGGCGAGUGGCGGACGGGUGAGGAAUACAUCGGAAUCUACUUUUUCGUGGGGGAUAACGUAGGGAAACUUACGCUAAUACCGCAUACGACCUACGGGUGAAAGCAGUGGAUCGUCGGACCUUGCGCGAUUGAAUGAGCCGAUGUCGGAUUAGCUAGUUGGCGGGGUAAAGGCCCACCAAGGCGACGAUCCGUAGCUGGUCUGAGAGGAUGAUCAGCCACACUGGAACUGAGCCACGGUCAAGACUCCUACGGGAGGGAGCAGUGGGGAAUAUUGGACAAUGGGCGCAAGCCUGAUCCAGCCAUACCGAGUGGGUGAAGACGGCCUUCGGGUUGUAAAGACCUUUUGUUGGGAAAGAAAAGCAGCAGGUUAAUACCCAGCUGUUCUGACGGUACCCAAAGAAUAAGCACCGGCUAACUUCGUG